This 360-nucleotide ribosomal RNA is filed under the name Triticum aestivum (bread wheat). RNAcentral's name for it is "partial small subunit ribosomal RNA". The record is from RNAcentral. Lineage: Eukaryota; Viridiplantae; Streptophyta; Magnoliopsida; Poales; Poaceae.
AUGAGCAGGAGCUCGAGCUUUGCGAAGGCCAGCAGCCUCACCGUCCUCCUCCUGCUGGCUCUCGCCCUCCAGCAGCUUGAGGCAGACAUGUCAAUGUCGUGCUCCGGCAUGCUCUCCGACCUGUCUCCGUGCCUCGGGUUCCUGCAGGGCGAGGAGGACUACCCCUCGGCCGACUGCUGCGACGGCGCGUCAAGCCUCGUGGCGGCCGCGGCCACCACGGCCGACCGGCAGGAGGCGUGCGAGUGCCUCAAGUCAGCCGCGGGAGAGGGCAGCGCCGAGGCGACUGCGGCGCGGGACUUGCCGGCCGACUGCGGCCUCUCCCUGCCGUUCACCAUCUCCCCCGACGUCGACUGUUCCCAG